AAGUAAAAGUCGUAACAAGGUCUCCGUUGGUGAACCAGCGGAGGGAUCAUUACAGGGUCUAACGACUACCCAAACCAAACCGUGAACCUUUUUUUCCACAAGCAUGAUGCCGCGGCGGGUCGCUCGCUGGGGGAGCCCCGGGCCGCGGAAACGCGGUGGCUCGCCGAAGGCAUCCCUCUCCAAACAUGAGAAGAACUUUCUGAAAGCAUCUCCGCAGGGAGAAACGAAAAUUGAGUCACAACUCACAACAAUGGAUCUCUUGGCUCUGGCAUCGAUGAAGAACGCAGCGAAAUGCGAUAAGUAAUAUGAAUUGCAGAAUUCAGCGAAUCAUCGAGUUUUUGAACGCACAUUGCGCCCUCUGGUAUUCCGGAGGGCAUGUCCGACCGAGCGUCGCGUCGCCGCCCAAGCCCCCCGGGCUUGGUGUUGGGGCCUGCCCGAGACAUCCCUCGGGCAGCCCCUAAAUGCAACGGCUGCCCUCCCGGUGCGGCUCCCCUAGCGCAGUACGAGACCUACUACGGGCUACGCUUCGGGACGCGCGGGAGGUGGCCACCAGCCUGCAAGACCUUCGAGUCGCAACCCCCCCAAAAGGUUGACCUCGGGUCGGACAAGAUUACCCGCUGAACUUA
This 626-nucleotide ribosomal RNA is filed under the name Anapleurothecium botulisporum. Its description in RNAcentral is "eukaryotic LSU rRNA". The stretch from base 240 to 393 matches the Rfam family "5.8S ribosomal RNA". Lineage: Eukaryota; Fungi; Ascomycota; Sordariomycetes; Pleurotheciales; Pleurotheciaceae. The record is from RNAcentral.